GGUGGUGUUGGUAGGUGUGAAGGUGGUGAUGUGGUGGUGUGAAGGUGGGUAGGGAAAGGGAAUGGAAAAGUCUAGGGAGGGGUGGGGAAUGAAGUUGGAAGGAUUUGGGGUAAUGGAGAGGUUAAAGGGAAUGAUUAAAAGUGCUUAACAAACAACAACAAAAGGAAUCAGGACAGUUGAUUCCCAUUCCCUUUCCUGAAUACCCCCAACCAAACGGCCCCUAAGUUGAAAAGAUGCUCAUUUACUGAAUUGAGCUGAAUUAGAACCGAACUGAAUUGAAAUGAAUUAAACUUAAAUUAAGAGAAUAGGCCUAAGUCUUUCCUUUUCCCCUCUACCAACCAAACGCCAACAGCAUUUCUCUUGCGAGUAUAAAAGAUUCCAAAUUUCCAAUUUCAGCAAAAAAAAAAAAAAAAAAAAAAAAAGUGUUGUAGCAAAACUGGAAAUGGAGGAAAACACUAGGUUAUCCCACAAGAAUUUAAUGUUGUUCAAAUUCUUUGAAAAAAAAUUAGGAAGAAACCGUUAUGGUCCGAAACUCUUUUCUUCUCCAUUCAAUCUGCUUCUGAGGUUUCAAGUCAGGCAUCAACAUUUCCACGGCCAUCUGUUAGACCUUAAGGAAAGCUAGAAGAAAAACAAAACAAACAUGAGUUUAGAAAUAGAAAGUGGUAGUUUAGGUACAGAUUCGGACUUGAAUGUUUGCCAAGUGAGCCAAUGUUCUGAAUCUGACCAAAUUGUUGAAGAGGUCGAGUAUCAACGAUUGGUUGCAGAAGGAGGGGUGUUUUCUAUAGCAUCUUGCUUACUGAGCGUAAUUUUUUCAUUGCUCAUCUCUUGUGAAGUUGGAAAGACGGCAGCAAAAUACGGUCUUCAUAUUUUUCUUGGAGUUGUUUCUGCUAUAGCUGCUACUGUCUUCUUACGCUAUAAACUCUCUCGACUUUCCUAAUCUAUUUCGCGGCUUCUAGAAGCAGCUAUCAUCCUGCAUUGUGGGGCUCCUAAAACUUGGUAUGGGAUACCUGGCAAUGCGGCUUUGCAGUUUGAGAAGGUUGCGCGAGAACAUACAUGUAUACCAUGAGGAUAUUUUGUCAACUGAUGUAGAAGAUGGAGCGUUUGAUGUACUGCUGGGAAAAAACAACUCUAUUCCCCCCUAGUGUUCUGUUAUAACAUGGUGUCCCUGUUUAUAUGGCUGUGCAAAAGCCUGGGAAAGUUGUAAUCACAUUUCCUACGACAUAUCAUGCGGAGUUUAGCCAUGGUGAGGUUAAUAUCUUAUUGGGUUCAUGUUACCUGCAUAUGAAGUGAUUAAGUUUAAGCACUCAACAUAUAUGAUUGUUUUCCAUUAUGAUCUCUUUCUUUGUGGUGGAGAUGAAACUGGAUUGCUGUUAUUUACAAGUUCCAAGUCCAUUGUUCUAUGUGGCAUAAAUCAUGUCCUCAUGUAUAUAUGGUAAUCUUGUAAGAGUGGAGCACGUGCUUAGAGGCGCCAAGAAGACAAGGAUAUAACCAUCAGUACUCUAGCAACUCUAGGAUGGUAGAUCAAACAUGUGUGAGAUGGUGGUGGUGUUAUAGGCAGAGUAGUAAUGGGUUGAAAUUAUGGGUUUUAAUUUCAUUUGUAGUACGAGUAGUAUUUAAUUUAUGGCUUUAGAUUGUAGAAAUUGAUAGAAUUAGAUAGGUAAAUUAUGAAGUAAUGCAAGAGCAUAUAAGUGAAUAUAUGAUCAAAAUGUAUACUACUACUUGUUUUCAACUUCAAUAUGUGAACUGUGUAGUUAGUAAAGAAAUUAUAUCUUUGUUCUUGAGAUUAUAUGAAUUUUUUUUUUU
Chenopodium quinoa (quinoa) is the source of this 1803-nucleotide RNA transcript. RefSeq lists it as uncharacterized. The record is from RefSeq and is a predicted model, not a curated record. NCBI's taxonomy places the organism in Eukaryota, Viridiplantae, Streptophyta, Magnoliopsida, Caryophyllales, Amaranthaceae. The transcript is spliced from 5 exons.